This 932-nucleotide ribosomal RNA is filed under the name uncultured Bacillota bacterium. RNAcentral's name for it is "bacterial SSU rRNA". It matches the Rfam family "Bacterial small subunit ribosomal RNA", at positions 1 to 893 of the family's 1533-position model. Lineage: Bacteria; Bacillati; Bacillota. The record is from RNAcentral.
UGGAUCCAGACUUUGUUAUGGCUCAGGACGAACGCUGGCGGCGUGCCUAAUACAUGCAAGUCGAGCGAGCUUGCCUAGAUGAUUUUAGUGCUUGCACUAAAUGAAACUAGAUACAAGCGAGCGGCGGACGAGUGAGUAACACGUGGGUAACCUGCCCAAGAGACUGGGAUAACACCUGGAAACAGAUGCUAAUACCGGAUAACAACACUAGACGCAUGUCUAGAGUUUGAAAGAUGGUUCUGCUAUCACUCUUGGAUGGACCUGCGGUGCAUUAGCUAGUUGGUAAGGUAACGGCUUACCAAGGCAAUGAUGCAUAGCCGAGUUGAGAGACUGAUCGGCCACAUUGGGACUGAGACACGGCCCAAACCCCUACGGGAGGCAGCAGUAGGGAAUCUUCCACAAUGGACGAAAGUCUGAUGGAGCAACGCCGCGUGAGUGAAGAAGGGUUUCGGCUCGUAAAGCUCUGUUGGUAGUGAAGAAAGAUAGAGGUAGUAACUGGCCUUUAUUUGACGGUAAUUACUUAGAAAGUCACGGCUAACUACGUGCCAGCAGCCGCGGUAAUACGUAGGUGGCAAGCGUUGUCCGGAUUUAUUGGGCGUAAAGCGAGUGCAGGCGGUUCAAUAAGUCUGAUGUGAAAGCCUUCGGCUCAACCGGAGAAUUGCAUCAGAAACUGUUGAACUUGAGUGCAGAAGAGGAGAGUGGAACUCCAUGUGUAGCGGUGGAAUGCGUAGAUAUAUGGAAGAACACCAGUGGCGAAGGCGGCUCUCUGGUCUGCAACUGACGCUGAGGCUCGAAAGCAUGGGUAGCGAACAGGAUUAGAUACCCUGGUAGUCCAUGCCGUAAACGAUGAGUGCUAAGUGUUGGGAGGUUUCCGCCUCUCAGUGCUGCAGCUAAAGCAGUAAGCACUCCGCCUGGGGAGUACGACCGCAAGG